Molecule: unclassified non-coding RNA, 1532 nt
Filed under: Hevea brasiliensis (rubber tree)
Lineage: Eukaryota; Viridiplantae; Streptophyta; Magnoliopsida; Malpighiales; Euphorbiaceae
Source: RNAcentral
GCAUGGAACCAAACAUUGUUAAAGUAUACCUUAAUUUGCUUACAAAAUUGGCUUUUUUGCCGCUAUUUAAUAAAUUAACAUGAAAAGAUAGAAAACUGUACAGUCGCAUCAAUAGACAUGCUUGGUAUUUCGGACAUGAAACUCUAAUCACUAGAAAAGCUACAUUCUGAAAAUUUUUGUGGCACUUGCAGCAGGUUGCCGCCCUAGUUCCUCCCACUUAACAAAGGUUUAACAGAAUUGAUGAGUUAUGUGAAAAGCAUAAAAUCACAAUAUAUCAGAGCAACGAAUACAGGUUUGAUCAAAAAGCUGGGCCACAAGGCUUCCUGCCUCUGGGAUGAGAGCAGAUGUCGAGCUGCUCCAAAAAUGGAAUGUUAAGGACUCCCUCAGAAUUUUAUUGAGAAAAGCCUCUUGUCUACCUUUUUCAGUCUCCAUUGUUGGUCUGGCAAAGUAACUUUCCAUAUCUUGUGAACCGAUAGGGAAGAAAAUGUAAGAGGGUUGCACUGACAAUUCCAACUGUGUUAUAAAGUUGUCUUCUUUUUUCAAAAAUCUUCUUGCAACUCUUGUCAAGAGGUCAGCCCCAUUCCAUCUCAAUUGGGUAUCAUCAUAUGUCGCAUAAAACUCUUUCAAGCAUUCCAUUAUGAACAGACUGUUCUUUCUAAAUGCCAUCACAGCCCCGUUCAAAGAACUUCCAGCGAGCUGAUCUUCCAGACCAACAGUAUUAUUAAGUGCAGGAAAUGGAUUUAGAACUAUAAUAUCUGAAUCUAGGUAGAUACCACCAUAUUUGUAGAGAGCAGCAAGCCGGAUAAGCUCACUGUAGUGCGUGGGAUAGAACUUUGUCCCUUUCCACUCAUACCAAACACCAGCAAAUACAUGGGUUGGUGUAUCCUUUAGCAAUUCAUCAAGAUUUGGCAUGGCAACAGCAACUUUGUAACCAUCUUUCACAAAGCUGUCAACAAAAAAAUCCAGCUCAAUUGUCUCCGAUAGCACUACAACACAAGCCUCUGGUGCAACAGCAGACUCUCAAGCCCCCUCUGGUGCCUAACAGUAUACAUCCAAGACGGGGAAUUCCACACCAUGAACACCCUGAUGUCACACUUCUCCUUCCCGAAAAAAGAAUCCAUGAAAUCUGAGAAAGACAAAUGAGGAUGCAAACCAGGAAAAUAACCCCAUCUUUUCCCGUCUGCAAGUGCAUAACUCAACUCCUCAGACUUCCUCCGCAACUUAGACUCUCUAUUCUCCAUUUGCCUUAGUUCUCCAUCAAUACUAUUCUCAUUUGUAUUUGAAUUCCCAUUUCCAUUGGGAUCUUUUAUAUUCUCAGUAGAUGAUCCCUUACUUGAACUGGACCCUUGAAUCACAUUACUUUCAUCUUCAUUCAAUACAUUCCCAUUCCCACCAGAAAUCAGAUUUUCAAUAACAUUUUUUAAUCUCUCACUAUGUGAUCCAGUACUCUCAUUCUCAUGAAAAAUCCUCCUUUCUGCUAUUUUAAUCCCACCCCCAUUUUUGAAAUCACUCUCUCUCUCUGUUCCUCUGCC